CAGACAGAAGAAAGAAAAAAGCACUCCCCAACUCUCUCCCUCUCUCAGACUGGGCAGAAGAAAGAAAACAGAACAAAAAAAGAAAGAAAGCUCUCUCACUCUCUCGGCCAUAUCCCUCUCUUUGCUCACUUCACACAACACACCCACACACUAUUCAGACACAAGGAGGCAGCAGCCAGUUGGACAAAGAGCUUGGAACUUCCUCAAAAUUUUAGUCAAGGGACCACAACCUCAUUGAGGUAUUUUUUUUCCAGCUUUUCCUUUUUUAAUUAAUUAGAUUAAAUGCAUGUUUGGCUACCUAUUUGUCUCUUCC
Molecule: long non-coding RNA, 313 nt
Filed under: Coffea arabica (coffee)
Lineage: Eukaryota; Viridiplantae; Streptophyta; Magnoliopsida; Gentianales; Rubiaceae
Description: long non-coding RNA (CARA_LNC008214)
Source: RNAcentral